Papaver somniferum (opium poppy) is the source of this 1638-nucleotide RNA transcript. It is a transcript of the gene named BRCA1-A complex subunit Abraxas 1-like, with no coding region annotated. NCBI's taxonomy places the organism in Eukaryota, Viridiplantae, Streptophyta, Magnoliopsida, Ranunculales, Papaveraceae. The record is from RefSeq and is a predicted model, not a curated record. The transcript has 3 exons.
UUCACAUCUUCCCCCUUUACACCUCUUUCUCUCUCCAGUCUGUCUCUGCAUCUUAUCCACUUUCUUCUUUCUAUCAAAAAUGGCAGAAGCAGAAGAUCUUCUACCAUUACAGAAGAUCUCAAUCUCCGGACCCACAUUAACAUCAAUAAUCCAACGGUUCUCAUCAUCACCAGGAGACGUAGACGGUCUAUUAUACGCCCACAUCACAUCUUCAUCGCCAAUUCUAGAAGACGAUGUAGUUCUUGCUGAAUCGUCUUCUUCAGCUCGCUCUUCUUCCGAUUCGUCGUCUUCAACAUCCAUCGCUACAAUCACUGGUUUCUUCUGUUCUGGUACUGUUUUAAGCUUUUAUAACUCACUGGGUCAACUCAAUCUCCCCGUUUUACAAUCAUUACUCAGUAAUAAUCAGAAUCAGAAUCAGACCUUGAUCGGUUGGUUUGUAGGUAGACGGAGAACUUGUUUAAGACCGUCAAUGAGAGAAUUUUCAGUUUGUAAAUCGUUAGCUACCAAAAAUGCCCUUACGAAAUUGUUCAAUUUACCGCCUGUUUUUAUGAUUUUUACUACUCCGGUGACUGAUCAGACUAUACAUACGCAUGAUUAUCAAGCGUUUCAGUUUGGGAGGGGGAAAUUAGAGUCGAAGACGGUGGAUGUUGUGAAUAUUGGACCUGCAUUUCGUGGGCAUUAUAAUGAUUUUGCGCCGAAUUCGGUGUUUCCCUUGUUGCCAUGUGUGUUUAAAGGAGAUGGGAUGGAAAUUGGAGGUGGUGAUAGUGAGAGGAGUAAAGGUAGUUUGAGUGAGUUGAAGGAAAAGGAGAAGGUGCAGAAGAAGUUGGAUAAUGUUGUACAAGGGUUUGAGGUUGGGAGAUUGAGUAAGUUAAUGGGUUCGCAAGCGUUGAGUUAUACUCAAGAGUUGGAAGCUUUAUAUGAGGCAAUGUUGAUGAAGCUUGAAGGGUUGGCACGGGUUGUUGAGAAGAGUAAUGAGAAGGUGAUUGAGCAGGAACUCCGGAUUGGGAAAAUGAGGAACAAAUUUGCGGGGCUGGAAUGACUUGUUCAUACUUCAAGAGACUUUUUUGGGCUUUCUGAAUUUGUUCCCAAGUUCGAGCCUGUGUUGGUUGAUUGUCAAUGUGGUAGGCACAAGCUGCAUCUUUCUUAUCCGGAAAGGAAGGAACAGCGUAAAUCCACUCUCCAGGGCUGGUAAAGGACUGAAAACACAAGGCGGUUUUCAGUAAAAACAUUGUGUGUUCACCUUUACCAGCUUUUGUGCUAAAAUUGCAAGAGAUGAUCGUGGUAAGAGAUGUGGAUGGUAUCUUCUCAUUUUGUGAUCCGUAAGUUCUUGUUUUGUUUUUUGGCAAAUUGCAAGUCUAGAUUGUCAGUCUAUGUAUUCUUUUGUGGAUUCCAUUUCUAUCCAGCCUAUGGGGACAUGCAAGCUGCACUUUUCUUUCCCAGGCGAAGCGAAAGCGAAAAACGAACAUGGAAGGAGAAACAGCUUGUAAUGUGAUCAUUUUGCAUGUAUCAGUUCUGUUUAUGAAUUCCCAAUUUUUUUUUUCUUCCUUACCGCUGUACAUGCAAGAUCUAUAGAAUGGAAUACUUGAAUGUUGUAAUCAUGUUCAUGAAAGAAUAAAAUUUAAGAAGACUCAUUUAGUU